This 269-nucleotide long non-coding RNA is filed under the name Dromaius novaehollandiae (emu). Its description in RNAcentral is "lncRNA (ENSDNVG00000004767.1)". Lineage: Eukaryota; Metazoa; Chordata; Aves; Casuariiformes; Dromaiidae. The record is from RNAcentral.
CGUGGGCUCCCUCCGAGGUGGCAGCUGUUCCUUGCAGCAGCUGUGGUGACUUGAAAGAGAGAUUUGGCUACUGAAUCUGGUCUACAGCGUAAAGUGCUAUGGCUGGACUGAAACACACCUUCGAGGCAUGAAAGUGGAGUAAAGACUCGUGAUGCCCAUCGCAGUGGAGCUGUUGGUAACCUCUUUGCUCAUCCAUCUGCUUCCCUGCUAGAACCGAUUCCUUUGGCAGCAGGCUGGGUGCAUAGCAAAGGAAGGAUAAGGGAUUGUCA